RNAcentral lists this small nuclear RNA (95 nucleotides) under Otolemur garnettii (small-eared galago). Lineage: Eukaryota; Metazoa; Chordata; Mammalia; Primates; Galagidae. The record is from RNAcentral.
GCUCUCGCUUCAGCAGCACAUAUACUAAAAUUGGAACGACACAGAGGAGAUUAGCAUGGCCCCCGCGCAAGGAUGACACACAAAUUCAUGAAGAG